CAACCUGGCCACAUGGACCCAAUAUCCUCCUUACGUCCAAAACAAAGAAGCCCCACUUAAGCUGGUCCAGGUGCCAGAGAAGCAGAGGUUGAGUGCACUUCGCUGCCCCUGCCAGAAACCUCGCAUACGCAGAGGGGAGCUCUAUAAAAAUGGCUCCAGUGUUGGUGUUAACACAUGGCGAUGGCGCUUCCUUAAGAAAUCUCCCCAAACCAUCAACUAAUUCCUUCUACAGACGGCCAUUCAAGCACACAAGCUCUCUCAAUGUUCCUUGCAGGCUUUUACCACCGCAUUCCACUAACGUUUUGCUUUCUCGCUUCUUUAGACCAUCACUUCUCAGGGUCAGGAGCUUUCAGGGAGAAGAUGCUGACAAUUUUGAAGUUACAGAAGAAAGUUUGGAUGGACAAAAUAAGGGUGCCAAUGAGAAAAUCGGAAAUCAGAAAAAUAAUCUUAGUGCUGAGGGAAAUUCGUUUCUAUUAAUAUUAGCAAUUGCUGUGGGCGUAGCUGCUAUAAUUACAAUUACAUCAAUUGGUCUCAAAUGGCCUAGUGUUGGGUCAUUCUUUGGUGUUCAAUCUCUGGCUGAAAGUUCAACAUCUUCUGCCCUUGCUUCGCCCCCUGUGGGUUUCACUUUCAAAGCUUUUGGAUACAGAAUCAUACUUCCUGAAUAUGCACCAGGGUGGAUAUAUUUUUGGUUGCUCAUGGCUGCUGGUUGUGGACUAUUCAUCAGUGAGGAGGCUUUAAAUAUUUGGGUUGGCAUAACCUUAUCGCGGAUGCUGUCAGUGGAUGGAACAUGGCAAUCUUUUGUUGAGUCGUUCUCCAGAAAUGCUCCAUACAUAAUGUCUACAGUAUUCUGGGUGUACUGGGGAGUCUGUAUCAGUGAUAUGAUACCAUUCUACCUUGGGAAGCUUUUCAGGGAAAGCGGGGCAACUGAUGAUAUUUGUUCAAAGCUAGGGAUUGGUGAAGAGAAGGUAUCGAGCAUUACACAUACUGUGCAACAAUAUGGAAAUCUUGCAGGCAUUGUGGAGCGGUUUUCACUUGGAGUAAGAAAUCCUACAGCUUUCCUAGCAGGGACGCUGGUUAGUGGUCAUCAUUUGUAUAAAGACUGCGCUUGGGAAAUUGGUUUUCAUUCUCUUACCACUAUUAAAUUAAUAAUAUUCCUUAUGCUUGAGUGACUGCUGGUUUUGACUCAGUUUAUAGAUUUUCUUGAUUUAUCCCAUGCUCUUAAUUUUUUUCAUCUAUGGUUCUCUGUUCUUUUAAUAUGGCUGAGCUUGGCUUUUUGACAUUUGCUUCAUUGGAGUACUGCUUACUUUAGUGAUUUAUGAGCAAGCAUGAUGACAGCCAAAUUUAAAGCCACUAUUAUGUUUUCGGUUCAUAUUAUGUUUUCUUGCAUUGAGCACACCUAUUUUAAUUCUUUCCUAGCAAGAUGCAUGCCAAAUGAAGGGAAAAGGGAAGCAAUUAAUUCUUAAUACACUAGAAGCUACUCUAGAUACUCUUUGGAUGCUAUAAUGAGUGAAUUACCACUGUUGGAGGUGCUGCGUUCACAUGCUGUUCAUGUUUCUCAAGAACAUGGGUAUAUCUCCGGAGUUUUUCUUUGCUGGAGUUUGCUGUGGUGGCUUGAUCACCCUUCCACUACAGCUAGGUAUUGGAUUUCUAUUGAGGGAACGCCCGGUGGUUGCCCUUGCCACUGUUGCCACAGUAGUG
RNA transcript from Hevea brasiliensis (rubber tree), 1698 nucleotides. RefSeq lists it as uncharacterized. The record is from RefSeq and is a predicted model, not a curated record. The transcript is spliced from 9 exons. NCBI's taxonomy places the organism in Eukaryota, Viridiplantae, Streptophyta, Magnoliopsida, Malpighiales, Euphorbiaceae.